This 495-nucleotide ribosomal RNA is filed under the name uncultured Desulfuromonadales bacterium. RNAcentral describes it as "bacterial SSU rRNA". It matches the Rfam family "Bacterial small subunit ribosomal RNA", at positions 103 to 576 of the family's 1533-position model. Lineage: Bacteria; Pseudomonadati; Thermodesulfobacteriota; Desulfuromonadia; Desulfuromonadales. The record is from RNAcentral.
CGGGUGAGUAACGCGUGGAUAAUCUACCCGAUGGACCGGGAUAACAUUUCGAAAGGGGUGCUAAUACCGGAUAAGACCACGGAGUCUCUGGAUUCCGCGGUAAAAGGUGGGGACCUUCGGGCCUACCGUCAUCGGAUGAGUCCGCGUACCAUUAGCUAGUUGGUGGGGUAAGGGCCUACCAAGGCGACGAUGGUUAGCUGGUCUGAGAGGAUGAUCAGCCACACUGGAACUGAGACACGGUCCAGACUCCUACGGGAGGCAGCAGUGGGGAAUUUUGCGCAAUGGGGGAAACCCUGACGCAGCAACGCCGCGUGAGUGAUGAAGGCCUUCGGGUCGUAAAGCUCUGUCAGAGGGAAAGAAGUGCAGUGGUGCUAAUAUCAUCAUCGCUUGACGGUACCCUCAAAGGAAGCACCGGCUAACUCCGUGCCAGCAGCCGCGGUAAUACGGAGGGUGCGAGCGUUGUUCGGAAUUAUUGGGCGUAAAGCGCGUGUAGGC